Molecule: long non-coding RNA, 197 nt
Organism: Telopea speciosissima
Lineage: Eukaryota; Viridiplantae; Streptophyta; Magnoliopsida; Proteales; Proteaceae
Exons: 2
Source: RefSeq, a predicted model, not a curated record
AUACAAAUACUCAAAGUUGAACAGUUUAUCACUACUUUGCACAUGUCAAAAUUUUGUCAUUAUUUGUUUUGGCAACAUUGUUGCAGUAAAUAAACAAUAUGGAUCAGGUUAAUCACCAAACAUGUCCUAUGGAAACCAAAAAGCUGUUGCCUGAGACAUCUCUUCAAAAUUCAAAAGAAAUAACUGUAAGCCUGCUU